UGUGGUGGCGAUAGCGCAGAGGAUACACCUGUACCCAUGCCGAACACAGAAGUUAAGCUCUGUAGCGCCAAAAGUAGUUGGGGGAUCGCUCCCUGCGAGGAUAGGACGUCGCCAUGC
RNAcentral lists this ribosomal RNA (117 nucleotides) under Periweissella beninensis. The record is from RNAcentral. Lineage: Bacteria; Bacillati; Bacillota; Bacilli; Lactobacillales; Lactobacillaceae.